The sequence is a ribosomal RNA, 910 nucleotides long. It matches the Rfam family "Bacterial small subunit ribosomal RNA", at positions 38 to 919 of the family's 1533-position model.
AGUGCGGCGUGCUAUACAUGCAAGUCGAGCGCAGGAAGCUCACGGAACUCUUCGGAGGGAAGUGAAGGGAAUGAGCGGCGGACGGGUGAGUAACACGUAAGGAACCUGCCCCAAGGAUUGGGAUAACUCCGAGAAAUCGGAGCUAAUACCGAAUAGUUCUUCAGACCGCAUGGUCUGAUGAUGAAAGGCGCUCCGGCGUCACCUUGGGAUGGCCUUGCGGUGCAUUAGCUAGUUGGUGGGGUAAUGGCCCACCAAGGCGACGAUGCAUAGCCGACCUGAGAGGGUGAUCGGCCACACUGGGACUGAGACACGGCCCAGACUCCUACGGGAGGCAGCAGUAGGGAAUCUUCCACAAUGGACGAAAGUCUGAUGGAGCAACGCCGCGUGAGUGAUGAAGGUUUUCGGAUCGUAAAACUCUGUUGUAAGGGAAGAACAAGUACGAGAGGUAAUGCUCGUACCUUGACGGUACCUUGCGAGAAAGCCACGGCUAACUACGUGCCAGCAGCCGCGGUAAUACGUAGGUGGCAAGCGUUGUCCGGAAUUAUUGGGCGUAAAGCGCGCGCAGGCGGCCUUUUAAGUCUGAUGUGAAAGCCCCCGGCUCAACCGGGGAGGGUCAUUGGAAACUGGAAGGCUUGAGUACAGAAGAGAAGAGUGGAAUUCCAUGUGUAGCGGUGAAAUGCGUAGAGAUGUGGAGGAACACCAGUGGCGAAGGCGACUCUUUGGUCUGUAACUGACGCUGAGGCGCGAAAGCGUGGGGAGCAAACAGGAUUAGAUACCCUGGUAGUCCACGCCGUAAACGAUGAGUGCUAGGUGUUGGGGGGUUUCCGCCCCUCAGUGCUGAAGCUAACGCAUUAAGCACUCCGCCUGGGGAGUACGGCCGCAAGGCUGAAACUCAGAGGUUUGUUGCGCG